Molecule: ribosomal RNA, 2166 nt
Filed under: Triticum aestivum (bread wheat)
Lineage: Eukaryota; Viridiplantae; Streptophyta; Magnoliopsida; Poales; Poaceae
Description: partial small subunit ribosomal RNA
Source: RNAcentral
AUGGGGACGGAGCGGAAGCGCAAGGUGAGCCUCUUCGACGUUGUCGACGAGACCUCCGUAUCCGCGAAGCUCGGCCGCGCCGGCAUCAAUGGUGCCGCCGCCGCCGCCGCGGCCAAUCCGUCCAUCAACCGGUGGAACGGCCGGCCCUACUCGGCGCGGUACCUGGAGAUCCUCGAGAAGCGCCGCACGCUCCCCGUGUGGCAGCAGAAGGACGAGUUCCUCCGCGUCCUCCGCGACAACCAGACCCUCAUCCUUGUCGGAGAAACCGGAAGUGGCAAGACCACUCAGAUCCCCCAAUUUGUGCUCGAGGCUGAUGGUUUGAGCAACCGCUCUAUGGUUGCCUGCACCCAGCCGCGGAGGGUUGCUGCAAUGUCGGUCUCUCGGCGUGUCGCGGAGGAGAUGGAUGUCACAAUCGGGGAGGAAGUUGGUUACAGUAUCCGAUUCGAAGAUUGCAGCAGUCACAAAACUGUUCUCAAAUAUUUGACAGAUGGUAUGCUUCUGAGAGAAGCAAUGGCAGACCCACUUUUAGAGAGGUACAAGGUGAUUGUUCUUGACGAGGCUCAUGAGCGCACAUUGGCAACGGAUGUUCUGUUUGGGCUUCUGAAGGAAGUUCUAAAGAACAGGCCUGACUUGAAGCUUGUUGUCAUGAGUGCUACUCUUGAGGCAGAGAAGUUUCAGGGUUAUUUCAGUGGUGCACCAUUGAUGAAGGUUCCUGGUAGACUUCAUCCGGUUGAGAUCUUCUAUACUCAGGAACCAGAAAGGGACUAUCUAGAAGCUGCUAUCAGGACAGUUGUGCAGAUACAUAUGUGUGAACCUGCUGGUGAUAUCCUUGUAUUCCUUACUGGAGAAGAGGAGAUUGAGGAUGCGUGUCGGAAAAUAAACAAGGAAGUUAAUAACAUGGGUGAUCAGGUUGGCCCAGUUAAAGUCGUGCCAUUGUACUCUACUCUCCCCCCUGCAAUGCAGCAGAAGAUUUUUGACCCUGCUCCACCUCCAUUGAAAGAGGAAGGUCCUGCUGGAAGGAAAAUCGUUGUGUCCACAAACAUUGCUGAGACAUCCCUAACCAUCGAUGGUAUAGUGUAUGUUAUAGAUCCAGGGUUUUCCAAACAGAAGGUUUACAAUCCAAGGAUAAGGGUGGAAUCCCUUUUGGUGUCUCCAAUUUCCAAGGCAAGUGCGCAUCAGAGAGCCGGUCGUGCUGGAAGAACACAGCCUGGGAAGUGCUUCAGGUUGUACACAGAAAAGAGUUUUAAUGGUGAUUUACAGCCGCAGACGUACCCAGAAAUUCUUCGGUCAAACCUGGCAAAUACAGUUCUUACUCUGAAGAAGCUUGGAAUUGACGACUUAGUGCAUUUUGACUUCAUGGAUCCUCCUGCACCCGAAACUCUAAUGAGGGCCUUGGAAGUUCUGAACUAUUUGGGGGCACUCGACGAUGAAGGCAACCUAACAUCUUUAGGUGAAAUGAUGAGUGAGUUCCCCUUAGACCCACAGAUGUCAAAGAUGCUUGUCAUCAGUCCAAGGUACAACUGUUCAAAUGAGAUCCUCUCAAUAUCUGCCAUGCUAUCAGUACCCAAUUGCUUUCUCCGGCCUAGGGAGGCACAAAAGGCUGCUGAUGAGGCGAAGGCUCGAUUUGGGCACAUCGAUGGGGAUCAUCUGACACUUUUGAACGUGUACCAUGCAUACAAGCAAAACAAUGAGGAUCCUACAUGGUGUUAUGAGAAUUUUGUCAAUGCCCGGGCGAUGAAGUCUGCUGAUAAUGUUAGACAACAACUUGUCCGCAUCAUGACCAGAUUCAACCUCAAGAUGUGCAGUACAGACUUCAACAGUCGCGAGUACUAUGUCAACAUCAGGAAAGCAAUGCUUUCAGGGUACUUUAUGCAGGUUGCUCAUCUGGAGCGAACUGGGCAUUACUUGACCGUUAAGGAUAAUCAGGUUGUCCAUCUUCAUCCCUCGAAUUGCAUGGACCAUAAGCCGGAGUGGGUCAUCUACAAUGAAUAUGUUUUGACCACCAGGAAUUUCAUCCGCACAGUCACCGAUAUCCGUGGAGAGUGGCUGAUCGAUAUAGCUCCACAGUACUAUGAUCUGACCAAUUUCCCAUCAUGUGAGGCCAAGCGUGUUCUUGAGAGGCUACACAAUAAGAGGGAGAGGGAAAGAGCUGCUAGUAGGAACUGA